Molecule: long non-coding RNA, 155 nt
Organism: Octopus sinensis (East Asian common octopus)
Lineage: Eukaryota; Metazoa; Mollusca; Cephalopoda; Octopoda; Octopodidae
Exons: 3
Source: RefSeq, a predicted model, not a curated record
CUUUUUUACUUUUAUUUACCUUUCUCCCCUUGAUUUCAUUUUCUGUGGUAUGUUGAAAAAGAAAGUUUACUCAAUAAAGCUUACAGAUUUAAAACACAUCAGAGAACGCAUUACCAGUCAGUGUGUUGAAAUUGAUGGCAAUGUAGACUUAUUUA